Molecule: ribosomal RNA, 356 nt
Filed under: uncultured organism
Description: bacterial LSU rRNA
Rfam family: Bacterial large subunit ribosomal RNA
Source: RNAcentral
CUUUACUAUAGUUUAGCAUAGUCUUUGAGUAAUGUAUGUGUAGGAUAGGUGGGAGGCAGAGAAGUGGUCGCGCUAGCGAUUGUGGAGCUGCCGUUGAAAUACCACCCUUACCUUACUUAGAGACUAACCACGAGGAGUGGGACGGUGCUAGAUGGGUAGUUUGACUGGGGUGGUCGCCUCCUAAAGAGUAACGGAGGCUUCCAAAGGUACCCUCAGCACGCUUGGUAACCGUGCGUAGAGCAUAUAAGUAGAAGGGUGCUUGACUGAGAGACAAACAAGUCGAACAGGGACGAAAGUCGGAUUAAGUGAUCCGGUGGUUCUAAAUGGAAGGGCCAUCGCUCAAAGGAUAAAAGGUA